Molecule: ribosomal RNA, 440 nt
Filed under: uncultured bacterium
Lineage: Bacteria
Description: partial 16S ribosomal RNA
Rfam family: Bacterial small subunit ribosomal RNA
Source: RNAcentral
CCUACGGGUGGCAGCAGUGGGGAAUAUUGCACAAUGGGGGAAACCCUGAUGCAGCAACGCCGCGUGAGUGAAGAAGUAUUUCGGUAUGUAAAGCUCUAUCAGCAGGGAAGAAAAUGACAGUACCUGACUAAGAAGCCCCGGCUAACUACGUGCCAGCAGCCGCGGUAAUACGUAGGGGGCAAGCGUUAUCCGGAUUUACUGGGUGUAAAGGGAGCGUAGACGGCUGCGCAAGUCAGAAGUGAAAGCCCGGGGCUCAACCGCGGGACUGCUUUUGAAGCUGUGUAGAUGGAGUGCAGGAGAGGUAAGUGGAAUUCCUAGUGUAGCGGUGAAAUGCGUAGAUAUUAGGAGGAACACCGGUGGCGAAGGCGGCUUACUGGACUGUAACUGACGUUGAGGCUCGAAAGCGUGGGGAGCAAACAGGAUUAGAUACCCCUGUAGUC